This 419-nucleotide unclassified non-coding RNA is filed under the name soil metagenome. RNAcentral describes it as "partial contains 5.8S ribosomal RNA, internal transcribed spacer 2, and large subunit ribosomal RNA". The stretch from base 1 to 120 matches the Rfam family "5.8S ribosomal RNA", at positions 35 to 154 of the family's 154-position model. The record is from RNAcentral.
GAUGAAGAACGUAGCGAAAUGCGAUACGUAAUGUGAAUUGCAGAAUUCAGUGAAUCAUCGAAUCUUUGAACGCACAUUGCACUCUCUGGUAUUCCGGAGAGUAUGCUUGUUUGAGUAUCUGUAAACAUCUCAAAUCUCUCUUCGCUUGCGUCGAGAGAAUUGGAUUUGAGCGAUCCCGACUCCUUCGUCAGAAAGAGGAGGGUCGCUUGAAAUGCAGGUGCAGCUGGACAUUCUUCUGAGCUAAAAGCAUAUCUAUUUAGUCCCGUCAAACGGAUUAUUACUUUUGCUUCAGCUAAUAUAAAGGUCGAAUGAACUACCAACGCUGAUUGCAGGAAAACUCGUUUGUAACAGAACUUGUAAACUCGAUCUCAAAUCAAGUAAGACUACCCGCUGAACUUAAGCAUACAAUAAGCGGAGGA